ACCUGCGCUGGCACUUGGUAUAAAGUUAGCGUCUGUGGCUCUCAGGAGAGCGGCCUAAUUGCCUUUAGUUGUUGUUGUUGUUGUUGCCAGGCCCCAGAACCCAGCUCCAGGAACAACUGGAACGAAGAAGGAACAGUCCACGUGGGGCCCCAGGGCUCAUUUGGAGCCUGACUCGGGCCACUGAGCUCAUGGUUCUGUCGUGGUCCCUUCGAUCCGGGGCCAUGGUGGCAUUUGGGGUCCCUUGUUGCAGGUCUCCAGCUCAGGGCCUGGGGAGCUCUAGGAGUUCUUUCCUCGGUGUGUCAUCACCGGGGUCAAGGGGCACAGGAACCUUCAUAGGGGAGGAGCUACCGAGUAUACUGGACGUUGCAUGGGGCAGGGGCCCUCGUGUGCUCAGGCCCUGACGACCGCCCUCUAGGAACUGGGUGAGGGCGCGCGAUCCCUCACUUGGCAGCUGACACCAGCGUCUGCUUACUUGCUCCUACGUGGGCCGAGAGGGUCCCGUGCUGGCUGCCCCGACCUGGCCCGCAGGUGCACCGCGGCCCGGCAGUCCUGAGCAAGCCCUUCGGAGGGUUGAUGGGAAUUACUUCCACCUUGCCUCCGACAGGCAAAUGCCUCCCCUCCCCACUCCCACCCCCCCCCCCAUGACUAGAGCCCAAGUCUAAACUAAACCCUCCUUCAGCCAGUCUUGGCCUGCACAGGGCCGCCCCUGCGGAGCUGCUCAGCGAUGGUGGGGUCAGUCCCCCCAACUAGUGGGCUCCUUAUCCGGCAAAGAAGGUGCCUACCAUACCUUCACUGGGAUGCGAGUCCUGAUUCAAGGGGGGGGGGAGGCAAAUCAAGUUCUACCUUAUUUCCGACCCCCUAACCCUGACUCAACUCUCUGAAGAUGCGUUUCCAUGCAUGUUCUCCUGGUCCCAAACAAGGCGGACAUAGUGAUCACCGAGCAGAACUGACCUGGGAAUUGUUAGAAAUGCAGAACCUCGGGCUCAUCCCAAGCACUGAAUCCGCAUCUGUUUCUAAUGAGAUCCCAGGUGAUUUGUAUCCGUAUUUAAGGAUGAGAAGCCCUGCUUCAGAACUAUCCAGAAACCCCAGCAGAAAGGGUCUUCCGUUUCUUAGGCCUGAAUAAGCCAACUUUCAACAACCCCAUCGUCACCAACCCCUUUGUCGCUGUGACUGUCCCCGUUAUCACCAUGGAGCAGCAUCCGUAGGGUAGACACUUCAUCAUGAACCAUUUUUAUGACGGUACAUACGGAGCAGACAAUGCCUUGCCCUAGCUGACCCUACUUCCACAGACAUAUUUAUAAGCCUUUUCCAGAAACACAAUUGCAUCUAAAAAUAGAAACCGCCUGGAUUUACCUUCAUCUCAACACAAUGACUCCAUGGCCACUGUGACUGGCCUUGAAUGACGGCCAACCACUUUGAAACACACAGACACUCUAUCAAUGGAGGUGAAGGAAGCCGCUUCCAGGGACUUCCAAGUGAGGAGUGAGAAAGAAGUGCAAGUUGAUAGCCAUGACUGGUACAGAGCCAAGGCCGAGUUUAAGGAAGAGAAAGAACCCAUGCCCUGUCCAGGCAGAGCAAGUAGGCUCAUCCCUGGAGGUGGCUCUUUGUGGUGGCUGCCUGGACGCUGGGUUGAGAAGGAUCUGAAGAAAAGCUGAGCUCAGGGAAGAGAGUUCUCAGACCCAUGAAUGAUGUCAGCCAUGGGUGAGGGGGUGAGGGCACACCGUGUUUUUGCUACCCUUGCACCUAAUCACCACAGUUAUGUUCCUAUAGCCAUGAACCCAGGAACCCAACACAAAGCAGGAAAAUGCAUCUGAGGAAAACUUAGAAAAAGAAAACUUCAGGAAGCUGGCUCAUUUGGGAUAUAAUUAGCAGAUGAGAGAGUGGGAUCCGGAUACCCGGGUUCUGUUCUUUGGCCUAUCACUAAAUAACUAUCAUGGAGGAAAUCAAUAAAUUGGGAUGUCGAUGUUGGGACCAUUUGUUCUGUCUCUGUUGUGGCCUGAGGUCUGAUAAGGAAGGCUGCUAAAGGCUCUUUGGAAGUGGAGGGGGGAAUAUGGAGCAGCCCUGAUGCUCCUGCAGCCACUGGAAGUGGUUCUUAAACAGCCUGGCCCAGUUUUAUCUUGUUUUAAUUAGUGCUGUAAUUGCACAACAUUAACAAAAUAAGGUAAAUUAUA
Molecule: long non-coding RNA, 2171 nt
Organism: Canis lupus familiaris (dog)
Lineage: Eukaryota; Metazoa; Chordata; Mammalia; Carnivora; Canidae
Exons: 3
Source: RefSeq, a predicted model, not a curated record